GAGGAUGACAUGGUUGGAUGGCGUUAUGGACUCAAUGACAUGAGUUUGAGCAAUCUCCCGGAGAUAGUGAAGGACAGGGAAGCCUGGCGUGCUGCAGUCCAUGAGGUCUCAAAUAGUCAGAUGUAACUGAGUGAUUGAAAACGACAACUUAAACAAUCAUGGCAUCUG
Long non-coding RNA from Cervus elaphus (red deer), 168 nucleotides. RefSeq lists it as uncharacterized. NCBI's taxonomy places the organism in Eukaryota, Metazoa, Chordata, Mammalia, Artiodactyla, Cervidae. The transcript is spliced from 3 exons. The record is from RefSeq and is a predicted model, not a curated record.